Molecule: ribosomal RNA, 534 nt
Filed under: uncultured bacterium
Lineage: Bacteria
Description: bacterial SSU rRNA
Rfam family: Bacterial small subunit ribosomal RNA
Source: RNAcentral
CAAGUCGAGGGGCAGCAUCAUCAAAGCUUGCUUUGAUGGAUGGCGACCGGCGCACGGGUGAGUAACACGUAUCCAACCUGCCGACAACACUGGGAUAGCCUUUCGAAAGAAAGAUUAAUACCGGAUGGCAUAGUUUUCCCGCAUGGGAUGAUUAUUAAAGAAUUUCGGUUGUCGAUGGGGAUGCGUUCCAUUAGGCAGUUGGCGGGGUAACGGCCCACCAAACCAACGAUGGAUAGGGGUUCUGAGAGGAAGGUCCCCCACAUUGGAACUGAGACACGGUCCAAACUCCUACGGGAGGCAGCAGUGAGGAAUAUUGGUCAAUGGACGAGAGUCUGAACCAGCCAAGUAGCGUGAAGGAUGACUGCCCUAUGGGUUGUAAACUUCUUUUAUACGGGAAUAAAGUUAGCCACGUGUGGCUUUUUGUAUGUACCGUAUGAAUAAGGAUCGGCUAACUCCGUGCCAGCAGCCGCGGUAAUACGGAGGAUCCGAGCGUUAUCCGGAUUUAUUGGGUUUAAAGGGAGCGUAGGCGGGUUG